Molecule: non-coding RNA, 253 nt
Filed under: uncultured bacterium
Lineage: Bacteria
Also listed under: 1 other name
Description: partial 16S ribosomal RNA
Rfam family: Bacterial small subunit ribosomal RNA
Source: RNAcentral
UACGUAGGCAGCAAGCGUUGUUCGGAGUUACUGGGCGUAAAGGGUGUGUAGGCGGCCUGUUAAGUUCCGUGUGAAAUCUCCCGGCUCAACUGGGAGGGUGCGCGGAAAACUGGCGGGCUAGAGUGCGGGAUGGGAGAGUAGAAUUCCUGGUGUAGCGGUGAAAUGCGUAGAUAUCAGGAGGAAUACCGGUGGUGUAGACGGCUCUCUGGACCGUAACUGACGCUGAGACACGAAAGCGUGGGUAGCAAACAGG